Molecule: ribosomal RNA, 507 nt
Filed under: uncultured bacterium
Lineage: Bacteria
Description: partial 16S ribosomal RNA
Rfam family: Bacterial small subunit ribosomal RNA
Source: RNAcentral
GACGAACGCUGGCGGCGUGCCUAAUACAUGCAAGUCGAACGCUUCUUUCCUCCCGAGUGCUUGCACUCAAUUGGAAAGAGGAGUUGCGGACGGGUGAGUAACACGUGCGUAACCUACCCAUCAGAGGGGGAUAACACUUGGAAACAGGUGCUAAUACCUCAUAACAGUUUAUGCCGCAUGGCAUAAGAGUGUUAGGCGCUUUCGUAUGUCGCUGAUGGAUGGACCCGCGGUGCAUUAGCUAGUUGGUGAGGUAACGGCUCACCAAGGCCACGAUGCAUAGCCGACCGGAGGGGGUGAUCGGCAACACUGGGACUGAGAAACGGCCCAGACUCCUACGGGAGGCAGAAGUAGGGAAUCUUCGGCAAUGGACGAAAGUCUGACCGAGCAACGCCGCGUGAGUGAAGAAGGUUUUCGGAUCGUAAAACUCUGUUGUUAGAGAAGAACAAGGACGUUAGUAACUGAACGUCCCCUGACGGUAUCUAACCAGAAAGCCACGGCAAAUUACGU